UCUCUGCUCCUUGUUCCCUGCCGACUCUUCCUGGUUUGUUUCUCUUCCUGGUUCCCUGCGGAGACCUCCUUGUCUCAGCUGACGCUUUGUGGCUCCUAACUCUCUGCUCCUUGUUCCCUGCCGACUCUUCCUGGUUUGUUUCUCUUCCUGGUUCC
This is a long non-coding RNA of Salarias fasciatus (jewelled blenny), 155 nucleotides long. RefSeq lists it as uncharacterized. Lineage: Eukaryota; Metazoa; Chordata; Actinopteri; Blenniiformes; Blenniidae. The transcript is spliced from 3 exons. The record is from RefSeq and is a predicted model, not a curated record.